Molecule: small nuclear RNA, 189 nt
Organism: Lemur catta (Ring-tailed lemur)
Lineage: Eukaryota; Metazoa; Chordata; Mammalia; Primates; Lemuridae
Product: U2 spliceosomal RNA
Exons: 1
Source: RefSeq, a predicted model, not a curated record
UUUGCUUCUUGGCCUUUUGACUAAGAUCAAAUGUAGUAUCUGUUCUCAUCAGUUAAAUAUGAUAUGUUUUCUAAUGGAGGACAAUAUAUUAAGUGGAUGUGUGGAGCAGGGAGGUAGAAUAGGAGCCUGUUCUGUCCAUUUCAUGCAUCAACCUGGUACUGCAGUAACUCCAGGAACUAUAAACACACA